Long non-coding RNA from Triplophysa dalaica, 906 nucleotides. RefSeq lists it as uncharacterized. The record is from RefSeq and is a predicted model, not a curated record. The transcript has 2 exons. NCBI's taxonomy places the organism in Eukaryota, Metazoa, Chordata, Actinopteri, Cypriniformes, Nemacheilidae.
UUCACUGCUGUAAAUCAAGUAUAAAAACAAUAUUUAAAUCAGAUGCUUAUAUAUUUUUCUAUCUGUAGGAUGUUUGUUCUUGAUAAGUAUUUCCGGUGUUCAUCGUAAUCCUGUCAUCUGGAGCGAUCCAGAGGUAAGACUCGCUCUCAUCGACACUGAAACAAGUGAGAACAUUGGGAAUGAUGUCUGCAGUCUCUCUCUUCAGGUGUUUGACCCCAUGCGCUUUGAACCGCAGAGGCCAUAGGAAAGAUCACCUCAUGCUUAGAUAGCAUUCUCUGCAGGACCCAGGAACUGCAUCGGUCAAGAACUUUUCUAUGGCAGAAACGAAGGUGGUGGUCGCUAAGGCGCAAGCUGUCAAGGCGCAUGAUUCUGCCCGGACCCAAACCGGUGCGUCGCCUCUAAAAGCUGCUCAUGAGAGAAGAAGGAGGAAGGAUUUUAAACUUUCAGCCUCUCACGCUGUCUCAGGAACAGUAGCCUCCAAAAAUACAUUUAGACAUAAGCAGCACCCUUAUACAUUUCCCUGCGAUUUAUAUAAAUAUAUAGUAAACAAGUCUGUCGUUUUGAUUUAUAAAUCUGUGUUUAAAUGUUUAUGGAAAUUAAAUAUUUCACACAGUACACCACUGAUAACAAGAAUAUAUCUGCACAUGUGACACGCACUCAACCUGUGAAGUCCAGGGCCCGGUUGCAUAAAGGACCUAAAGUGUGAUUUUCAAUUAAGUGUGCCUUUAAAUAUACCUAAAGUUUUACUAAAGUUAUUCUCCUAUUGUGUUUGGUAAAGGGAAAUCACUUAAGAAAAACUUAAGGUGCUUAAUGCAACUGGGCACAGGAACUGAAGAUGAGAUGAGCGACAUCUGGUGUUCACAGCUCGUGCAAAACACACCUGCAAUAAACACAUGCAGAAAACAA